This is a transfer RNA of 71 nucleotides. It matches the Rfam family "tRNA". Rfam says of the family: Transfer RNA (tRNA) molecules are approximately 80 nucleotides in length. Their secondary structure includes four short double-helical elements and three loops (D, anti-codon, and T loops). The record is from Rfam.
GCCCUCGUAGCUCAAUGGUAGAGCGUUGGCUUUGAAAGCCAAGGGUUGGUGGUUCGAUCCCGUCCGGGACA